RNAcentral lists this long non-coding RNA (892 nucleotides) under Bemisia tabaci. RNAcentral's name for it is "lncRNA ENSSSA3NGG000977". The record is from RNAcentral. Lineage: Eukaryota; Metazoa; Arthropoda; Insecta; Hemiptera; Aleyrodidae.
CAGAGAACGUGGAUCUUUCUCAGUUCCCGUCGUCAGAUAUUGAGUUAAAACUGAAGUUAAUUGGUUCCUAGAUUUCUUUGUUUAGGUCUCACAAAUCACCCAAAAAAUGGUGCAGCGAGAAUCGCCCUCUUCUACAGCGCAAGUUAUAUGCACAUUUUGCGUCCUCUUGCUGAUUUGUGAGGUUUCCAGGGCAGACUUCGGAAGAAAAUCCGAGGAAAUCGCAAGGAAUAUCUGUCUUUUAGCUGAACCCCGUCUAAUCCGGAUGAAAAUUCAAUGGUCAAUUUUUGCAAGGAACACCCUACCCGAGCUAUUUGCUGGAAGUCUGAUUGGAGACAAAAAAUUCCUCUUCCAGAAUGUAUUAUCAGAAUCCGUCGUCAAGUAGGAUUUCGAAUACUGAGGGGAAUAUUUAUUCAUUUCUACACGAAAACGUUGUAAAAUAAGAGUCGAUAACCUGAAAGCUGACAAUUUGUUACUCUCACUACUAUUCCUCCCACCAUUUUACCGAUCAUCAAGCAUUCCACCCUAAGAGGUGGGGGCGGUUGAUUCUAUUUUUAUUCCUUAUCUGCAGCUUUACAGGUCCUUACUGCAACCCAUUUAUUUUCAGUCGAACUGUUCAGAACUACAAGUGCGUCGAACUUUUAAUUCGAAUAUUAUAAAGUCUUUGAUUUGUAUCAUAACAAGCGACCGGAGCAGUUCCCUCUUCUUGGCCAAUAUUCUACUUCGCGAAGUAACAAACGUGGUACAAACGCGGUUGUACCAGAAUUGACAACACUACUUGAGGAUUAAUCAGGAUUAAUACAGGGUAUUCUUAAAUACGGGUCGGAAGUUCAUAAAGGUGCAGCCAUCAAACGAUUUUAAAAGGAAAGUGUUGUGAAUUAUUUCCUAGCAAAAC